UUAAGUUCAGCGGGUAAUCCUACCUGAUUUGAGGUCAGAGGUCAAUGAGAUGUUGUCCGCAAGCAGACGGUUGGAAGCUGAGCCCAGUUAAAGUAAGCCUCACAGCCACGGCGUAGACAAUUAUCACACCGAGGCCGAUACAGCAAAGGUUCAAGCUAAUGCAUUCAAGAGGAGCCGGCUCAAAAAGCCAGCAAAGACCU
RNAcentral lists this unclassified non-coding RNA (200 nucleotides) under Postia sp. RNAcentral describes it as "partial internal transcribed spacer 2". Lineage: Eukaryota; Fungi; Basidiomycota; Agaricomycetes; Polyporales; Postiaceae. The record is from RNAcentral.